RNAcentral lists this ribosomal RNA (762 nucleotides) under uncultured organism. Its description in RNAcentral is "SSU rRNA". It matches the Rfam family "Bacterial small subunit ribosomal RNA", at positions 636 to 1393 of the family's 1533-position model. The record is from RNAcentral.
GUGGACUUGAGUGCAGAAGAGGAAAGUGGAAUUCCACGUGUAGCGGUGAAAUGCGUAGAGAUGUGGAGGAACACCAGUGGCGAAGGCGACUUUCUGGGCUGUAACUGACGCUGAGGCGCGAAAGCGUGGGGAGCAAACAAAAUUCCUUACCCUGGUAGUCCACGCCGUAAAACGACCCAAAAGAGGUGUUAGGGGUUUUGAUACCCUUGGUUCCGGAAGUUAACACAUUAAGCAUUCCGCCUGGGGAGUACGGUGGCAAGACUGAAACUCAAAGGAAUUGGCGGGGACCCGCACAAGCAGUGGAGUAUGUGGUUUAAUUCGAAGCAACGCGAGGAACCUUACCAGGUCUUGACAUCCCUCUGACCGGUCUAGAGAUAGGCCUUUCCUUCGGGACAGAGGAGACAGGUGGUGCAUGGUUGUCGUCAGCUCGUGUCGUGAGAUGUUGGGUUAAGUCCCGCAACGAGCGCAACCCCUAUUUUUAGUUGCCAGCACUUUAAGGUGGGCACUGUAAAGAGACUUCCGGUGACAAACCGGAGGAAGGGGGGGAGGACGUCAAAUCAUCAUGCCCCUUAUGACGUGGGGUACGCACGUACUACAAUGGCCAGUACAACGGGAAGCGAAGGAGCGAUCGGGAGCCAAUCCUAUCAAAGCUGGUCUCAGUUCGGAUUGCAGGCUGCAACUCGCCUGCAUGAAGUCGGAAUUGGUAGUAAUCGCGGAUCAGCAUGGCGCGGUGAAUACAUUCCCGGGUCUUGUACACCCCGC